This 29-nucleotide non-coding RNA is filed under the name Homo sapiens (human). The record is from RNAcentral. Lineage: Eukaryota; Metazoa; Chordata; Mammalia; Primates; Hominidae.
UAAAAGGUAAUGGUGCAUUUGAACAAGUA